UGAACGCUAGCUACAGGCUUAACACAUGCAAGUCGAGGGGCAGCAUUUUAGUUUGCUUGCAAACUGAAGAUGGCGACCGGCGCACGGGUGAGUAACACGUAUCCAACCUGCCGAUAACUCCGGAAUAGCCUUUCGAAAGAAAGAUUAAUACCGGAUAGCAUACGAAUAUCGCAUGAUAUUUUUAUUAAAGAAUUUCGGUUAUCGAUGGGGAUGCGUUCCAUUAGUUUGUUGGCGGGGUGACGGCCCACCAAGACAACGAUGGAUAGGGGUUCUGAGAGGAAGGUCCCCCACAUUGGAACUGAGACACGGUCCAAACUCCUACGGGAGGCAGCAGUGAGGAAUAUUGGUCAAUGGGCGAGAGCCUGAACCAGCCAAGUAGCGUGAAGGAUGAAGGCUCUAUGGGUCGUAAACUUCUUUUAUAUGGGAAUAAAGUUUUCCACGUGUGGAAUUUUGUAUGUACCAUAUGAAUAAGGAUCGGCUAACUCCGUGCCAGCAGCCGCGGUAAUACGGAGGAUCCGAGCGUUAUCCGGAUUUAUUGGGUUUAAAGGGAGCGUAGGUGGAUUGUUAAGUCAGUUGUGAAAGUUUGCGGCUCAACCGUAAAAUUGCAGUUGAAACUGGCAGUCUUGAGUACAGUAGAGGUGGGCGGAAUUCGUGGUGUAGCGGUGAAAUGCUUAGAUAUCACGAAGAACUCCGAUUGCGAAGGCAGCUCACUAGACUGUCACUGACACUGAUGCUCGAAAGUGUGGGUAUCAAACAGGAUUAGAUACCCUGGUAGUCCACACAGUAAACGAUGAAUACUCGCUGUUUGCGAUAUACAGUAAGCGGCCAAGCGAAAGCAUUAAGUAUUCCACCUGGGGAGUACGCCGGCAACGGUGAAACUCAAAGGAAUUGACGGGGGCCCGCACAAGCGGAGGAACAUGUGGUUUAAUUCGAUGAUACGCGAGGAACCUUACCCGGGCUUAAAUUGCAACAGAAUAUAUUGGAAACAGUAUAGCCGUAAGGCUGUUGUGAAGGUGCUGCAUGGUUGUCGUCAGCUCGUGCCGUGAGGUGUCGGCUUAAGUGCCAUAACGAGCGCAACCCUUAUCUUUAGUUACUAACAGGUGAUGCUGAGGACUCUAGAGAGACUGCCGUCGUAAGAUGUGAGGAAGGUGGGGAUGACGUCAAAUCAGCACGGCCCUUACGUCCGGGGCUACACACGUGUUACAAUGGGGGGUACAGAAGGCGGCUACCUGGUGACAGGAUGCUAAUCCCAAAAACCUCUCUCAGUUCGGAUCGAAGUCUGCAACCCGACUUCGUGAAGCUGGAUUCGCUAGUAAUCGCGCAUCAGCCAUGGCGCGGUGAAUACGUUCCCGGGCCUUGUACACACCGCCCGUCAAGCCAUGAAAGCCGGGGGUACCUGAAGUACGUAACCGCAAGGAGCGUCCUAGGGUAAAACUGGA
This 1439-nucleotide ribosomal RNA is filed under the name uncultured organism. RNAcentral describes it as "SSU rRNA". It matches the Rfam family "Bacterial small subunit ribosomal RNA". The record is from RNAcentral.